GAUGAACGCUGGCGGCGUGCCUAAUACAUGCAAGUCGAGCGAACGGACGAGAAGCUUGCUUCUCUGACGUUAGCGGCGGACGGGUGAGUAACACGUGGAUAACCUACCUAUAAGACUGGGAUAACUUCGGGAAACCGGAGCUAAUACCGGAUAAUAUUUUGAACCGCAUGGUUCAAAAGUGAAAGACGGCCUUGCUGUCACUUAUAGAUGGAUCCGCGCUGCAUUAGCUAGUUGGUAAGGUAACGGCUUACCAAGGCAACGAUGCAUAGCCGACCUGAGAGGGUGAUCGGCCACACUGGAACUGAGACACGGUCCAGACUCCUACGGGAGGCAGCAGUAGGGAAUCUUCCGCAAUGGGCGAAAGCCUGACGGAGCAACGCCGCGUGAGUGAUGAAGGUCUUCGGAUCGUAAAACUCUGUUAUCAGGGAAGAACAUAUGUGUAAGUAACUGUGCACAUCUUGACGGUACCUGAUCAGAAAGCCACGGCUAACUACGUG
RNAcentral lists this ribosomal RNA (497 nucleotides) under uncultured bacterium. RNAcentral's name for it is "partial 16S ribosomal RNA". It matches the Rfam family "Bacterial small subunit ribosomal RNA", at positions 28 to 507 of the family's 1533-position model. The record is from RNAcentral.